CAAUAGCGUAUAUUAAAGUUGUUGCAGUUAAAAAGCUCGUAGUUGGAUUUGUGGCGUACGGUGUGUUCCGGGCACUUGUUGUCUGAGUAACCUGCUGUUGCCAUCCUUGGGUGGAACCUGGGUGGCAUUAGGUUGUCGUGCAGGGGAUGCCCAUCAUUUACUGUGAAAAAAUUAGAGUGUUCAAAGCAGGCUUAUGCCGUUGAAUAUAUUAGCAUGGAAUAAUGAGAUAGGACUUUUUUGCUAUUUUGUUGGUUUGCGCAAAGAGGUAAUGAUUAAUAGGGACAGUUGGGGGUAUUCGUAUUCCAUUGUCAGAGGUGAAAUUCUUGGAUUUUUGGAAGACGAACUACUGCGAAAGCAUUUACCAAGGAUGUUUUCAUUAA
This 380-nucleotide ribosomal RNA is filed under the name uncultured eukaryote. RNAcentral describes it as "partial 18S ribosomal RNA". It matches the Rfam family "Eukaryotic small subunit ribosomal RNA", at positions 592 to 976 of the family's 1831-position model. The record is from RNAcentral.